GACGAACGCUGGCGGCGUGCCUAAUACAUGCAAGUAGAACGCUGAAGCUUGGUGCUUGCACCGAGCGGAUGAGUUGCGAACGGGUGAGUAACGCGUAGGUAACCUGCCUGGUAGCGGGGGAUAACUAUUGGAAACGAUAGCUAAUACCGCAUAAAAUGGAUUAUCGCAUGAUAAUCCAUUGAAAGGUGCAAAUGCAUCACUACCAGAUGGACCUGCGUUGUAUUAGCUAGUUGGUGGGGUAACGGCUCACCAAGGCGACGAUACAUAGCCGACCUGAGAGGGUGAUCGGCCACACUGGGACUGAGACACGGCCCAGACUCCUACGGGAGGCAGCAGUAGGGAAUCUUCGGCAAUGGACGGGAGUCUGACCGAGCAACGCCGCGUGAGUGAAGAAGGUUUUCGGAUCGUAAAGCUCUGUUG
RNAcentral lists this ribosomal RNA (420 nucleotides) under Streptococcus sp. oral taxon 070. RNAcentral's name for it is "bacterial SSU rRNA". It matches the Rfam family "Bacterial small subunit ribosomal RNA", at positions 28 to 438 of the family's 1533-position model. Lineage: Bacteria; Bacillati; Bacillota; Bacilli; Lactobacillales; Streptococcaceae. The record is from RNAcentral.